RNAcentral lists this ribosomal RNA (486 nucleotides) under uncultured bacterium. RNAcentral describes it as "partial 16S ribosomal RNA". It matches the Rfam family "Bacterial small subunit ribosomal RNA", at positions 28 to 507 of the family's 1533-position model. The record is from RNAcentral.
GAUGAACGCUAGCGGCAGGCUUAACACAUGCAAGUCGAGGGGCAGCGCGGGAUAGCAAUAUCCUGGCGGCGACCGGCGGAAGGGUGCGUAACGCGUGAGCGACAUGCCCGUUGCCCGGGGACAACCGGUGGAAACGCCGACUAAUCCCCGAUGGGAUAUUGUGCCGCAUGGCACGAAAUUGAAAGUUACGGCGGCGACGGAUUGGCCCGGGUCCGAUUAGCUUGUUGGCGGGGUAACGGCCAACCAAGGCUGCGAUCGGUAGGGGUUCUGAGAGGAAGGCCCCCCACGAUGGGACUGAGACCCGGCCCAGACGCCUACGGGAGGAAGCAGUGAGGAAUAUUGGUCAAGGGGCGGAAGCCUGAACCAGCCAUGCCGCGUGCGGGAAGGAGGCCCUAUGGGCUGUGAACCGCUUUUGCAUGGGGGGAAUAAGGGCGUCGCGCACGUCCGAUGAGAGUACCAGGCGAAUAAGCAUCGGCUAACUCCGUG